Molecule: small RNA, 260 nt
Filed under: Rhodosorus marinus
Lineage: Eukaryota; Rhodophyta; Stylonematophyceae; Stylonematales; Stylonemataceae
Description: transfer-messenger RNA Rhodo_marin_1319
Source: RNAcentral
AAUACAAGUCGAGAAUGAGAAUUUCUCGUUAAAAUUUCUCAAAAAAAAUAAUAAAUGCAAAUAACAUUUUAAAAUUCUUUACCAAGUCUCCGGUAGUAGCAUUCGCUUAAAACCUUUGGUUUCACAUUAGUCUAAUCUUAAUUUAAUAUGAAAAUCUUUAAGAUGCAGCUAAAAAAUAAAUUUAGCUAAGAACCCUACGCAAUCAAAUGUAUGUAUAAAACUUGGAAUACUAUUGACUAAUACAAUCUAAUUGGACGAGG